RNAcentral lists this ribosomal RNA (253 nucleotides) under uncultured bacterium. RNAcentral's name for it is "partial 16S ribosomal RNA". It matches the Rfam family "Bacterial small subunit ribosomal RNA", at positions 524 to 776 of the family's 1533-position model. The record is from RNAcentral.
UACAGAGGGUGCGAGCGUUGUCCGGAAUCACUGGGCGUAAAGGGCGCGUAGGCGGCCUGAUAAGUCGGGGGUGAAAUCCUGUGGCUUAACCACAGGGCUGCCUCCGAGACUGUCGGGCUCGAGCACAGUAGAGGCAGGUGGAAUUCCAGGUGUAGCGGUGAAAUGCGUAGAUAUCUGGAGGAACACCGGUGGCGAAGGCGGCAUCCUGGACCGAGAUCGACGCUGAGGCGCGAAAGCUAGGGGAGCAAACGGG